Long non-coding RNA from Nicotiana attenuata, 2441 nucleotides. RefSeq lists it as uncharacterized. Lineage: Eukaryota; Viridiplantae; Streptophyta; Magnoliopsida; Solanales; Solanaceae. The transcript is spliced from 4 exons. The record is from RefSeq and is a predicted model, not a curated record.
UAUGCUUAAAGUCUUUUUUAUAAAAGCUCGAGGGCAGUUAAGUCAUUUCACAUCAAUUCUUACAGAUAAAACAUACUACUGCCUUAUUUUUCCCACUAGGUGUAAGUUUUAAAUGAGUCCACGUAUGUUCUACGCAGCGUAUUAGGUUUUCAUCCAAUUAAACUUUCAAAAUUUGGAUAGCUGCUCCAAUUCUCUUCGCCUUCCUUAAAUUCCUUCUACCUGCAGUUCUUGCGAUCUAUUGUGGUUGUUGUGUUUUCGUGUUAUUCAGUAGCCUUCCAAUCAAAAGAUUUUUUUGGUCAAGAACUACUAAAAAGAAGACCAGAAAGAAGUCCAAACAUCGCAUACACAACGCCCCACCUUCAGCUAAUAUGUAAAUAGUUAUUUCAUACAUGAGCAUCCCUAAUGUGAUGCUCUCAUGGUUGUAAACAAUAUAUAUAUUGAUCAAAAUGUAUGUAAAUAGGUAUAUAUCAAUUAACAUGCAAUAUUGUCUAUUUGAUUCCACACUUACCAUCAAUUAUUAGAUCUACAAUUAAAAAUCAUACAGUAUUAAAUAAUGUUGGCCCCCACCUAGUAGAAAAAGAAGAACGAAUGAGGAUUAAGACAAAUACGAUUUAUAUUAAAUGAAUAGAUGCAUGUCAUGUGUGGGCAUACUAGGAGAGAUAAAAUUAGGCAGAGAAUCAAGUAUGACUUAGUAAAGAGGUGUGACAGGUUAGCCUUGGUGGGUUCAAGGAGAGAUAAAGGCAUGCCCAAGAAGUAUUGAGGAGAGUUGAUCAGGCAGAAUAUGAUACUACUCCAGUUUAGCGAGGAUAUGACCCUUGAUAGGAAGGUGUAAAUGACGAGGAUUAAGGUAGAACGCUAGUAGGUAGUCGAACGUUUCUCUUUGCCAUACCAAUAGAUUAGAGUAUUAUUGUCAUACUUUCUUACUCUUAGAUUUCUAUUAUUACAUGUUGUUUCUUUUUGCUUAUGUUAUCUUAUUAUCUUGUUGUUGAUACUGCUUCUCUUUCAUGGGUUUUUCACGACUGUAUUUCUUGUUAAGACUGCUAUGAUUGUACAUUGCUUGAGCAGGGUAUAUUGAAAAUAGCUUCUCAACCUGCGCAAGACGUACACUCCCUAGUGGGACUAUACUAGUUUUGUUGUAGAUGCAGGUCAUGUUUUAGCACAUUCAGUUUAUCACUGAAAUAUAAUUAAUUAAUAUAAUUUUUUCUUUUGUUAUAUCACUUAAUUGAAUAACUAAUAGUAUAAUUUUAUAUAUAUUUAACUACAUAAUAAGCGUAAGACCCUUGGACGACCAAGGGUACUUUCGAUAUUAUACAUUUCUUGGAGCUGUUUGAUGAACCGUGUUUGAUUUUGGUUUGAUGCUGCUACAAUUACCGGGUGAGUUUUAUUUUCCUCUCUUUUUUAGUCCCUUGAUAGUUUUCCCCAAUUUGUUUUACUUUGUGAUAUAUGUUAUGCGUUUGUUCCAAAGAAAUUGGUUUAGGUAGGGAGUAUCAUACUAUCUUUACUACUGGAAUUAAGCUGUACCGUAGGUACUACUAUUAAUUAGAUUAAGUGACACUUAAAUAUAAAUAGUUAUCUAAAAGGGGCAACUUGUAAUAUUGUGAAUUGGGGGUUUCUGGUCUUUUAAAUCGACAGGUCUUUUUGUUGCUAUCAAUAAGAGAAAUCUUUUUGUGUACCGUAACCUCUGCUGCUUUCCUCUUUUGAUGGUGUAUUCCAUUAGAAAGAUGCACGGUUUUGCCGUGAUUGUAGUGUUAAAGUUUUCUGGUUAAAUGGCUUUCAGAUAGAGAGAAGUCCAUUUCUUUCAAAGACAUAAUUGUUGAAACAGAACUACCGGACCUGACCAUCUUCUUGUUACCUGCCAUGAUUGGGUUGAUAGAGCUAUUCUUGAAAAUCUGAAAAGACAAAGGCCCACCUAAAAUAUGCUAGCAUAACUUAUGAAGACAUACUUUGAAGGUAAUUUAGCUUAAUUCUUUGUUUUUUGUGCCAUUUGACUCUAGCACAUAAUAUAACCUCCUUUCUGUUGUCCAAGGUUUUGAUUAUUCAUGGUAAAGAAAAUUCUCCGUUAAAGUCUUUUUGUUUUAUGUUUGGUGUUAAAGUCGUGGUUGUCAAGUUCUUGCAACAUAACGUGCUUGUAGUCAGCUCUAAUGAUGAUUCUUGUUUAAUUUCUGGUAGAUCUUAAAGUUAGUUAUAUAUCGAAGUGAUAAAUAUCGUUUUACUCUCCUAUAUCAUUAGCAUUUUUUGCAGCAAUUUCAUGGAGGUUUAAGUUUUUGUUUUUUUGUUUCAAAUUGUAAUUGUUGGAAAAAUCUGAGAUAUCAUUCUUUUGAAAUUUGUAUUGCUUUAAUGGAAAAAUGGGUUCACCUUGGGAAAGGUGGAGAAAAAAGAAGAGAAACUAUGUAGAUUUCAUUGGUGUCGAGAAGAUAUAAAAAAUGUGUAACUUUUUCUAA